Molecule: ribosomal RNA, 519 nt
Filed under: uncultured eukaryote
Lineage: Eukaryota
Description: SSU rRNA
Rfam family: Eukaryotic small subunit ribosomal RNA
Source: RNAcentral
AGGGCACCACCAGGAGUGGAGCCUGCGGCUUAAUUUGACUCAACACGGGAAAUCUCACCAGGCCCGGACACCGGAAGGAUUGACAGAUUGAGAGCUCUUUCUUGAUUCGGUGGGUGGUGGUGCAUGGCCGUUCUUAGUUGGUGGAGCGAUUUGUCUGGUUAAUUCCGAUAACGGACGAGACUCUGGCCUACUAACUAGAUGGAGGAUCCCUUCGUGGGUUCUUCACUGCUUCUUAGAGGGACGGGCGGCGUUUAGCCGCACGAGAUUGAGCAAUAACAGGUCUGUGAUGCCCUUAGAUGUUCUGGGCUGCACGCGCGCUACACUGAAGGAAUCAGCGUGUCCUCCCCGCUCUGAAAAGAGUGGGUAACCCGUUGAAACUCCUUCGUGAUGGGGAUUGGAGAUUGUAAUUAUUCUCCAUGAACGAGGAAUUCCCAGUAGGCGCGAGUCAUCAGCUUGCGUCGAUUACGUCCCUGCCCUUUGUACACACCGCCCGUCGCUACUACCGAUCGAGUGAUUUAG